AUUGAACGCUGGCGGCAGGCCUAACACAUGCAAGUCGAGCGAGAGGCGGACGGGUGAGUAAUGUAUGGGGAUAUGCUCGAUCGAGGGGGAUAACUACUGGAAACGGUGGCUAAUACCGCAUACUACCGGCUGAACCCAUAUGGGAUUAGCUAGUAGGUGGGGUAAAGGCUAACCUAGGCCACGAUCUUUUGCUGGUCUGAGAGGAGGCACAGCCACACUGGGACUGAGACACGGCCCAGACUCCGACGGGAGGCAGCAGUGGGGAAUAUUGCACAAUGGGGGCAAGCCUGAUGCAGCCAUGCCGCGUGUAGGAAGAAGGCCUUAGGGUUGUAAAGUACUUUCAGCAGGGAGGCGUUACCCGCAGAAUAAGCACCGGCUAACUCCGUGCCAGCAGCCGCGGUAAUAC
Molecule: ribosomal RNA, 406 nt
Filed under: uncultured bacterium
Lineage: Bacteria
Description: partial 16S ribosomal RNA
Rfam family: Bacterial small subunit ribosomal RNA
Source: RNAcentral